UCCUUCACUAUAGUCUUUGGAUCAAACACUAUUCCACCUACCACCACCUACCACCAUCAUCUCAACCCUACAUCUCUCCAUCCAAUGGCUAAAAACUCAAAAACACCACUCCUUUGAUGCUUUUGACAGUAUUCUAGCUCAAGUCUAUAUAUAUAUAUAGUCCGGCUACUAUUCUUUUAUGAGUAUAGACCCCUUUGUACUCAUAUGUUUUCGAUUAUUAGAUCUACUCCUUUGAUCAUUUUCAUCCGUUAGAUCAUACUAUUCAACUAACCAUCCACUAAAUCCUAGGGGACCACUAUAAUCCUAAUU
RNAcentral lists this long non-coding RNA (309 nucleotides) under Ananas comosus (pineapple). RNAcentral describes it as "long non-coding RNA (ACOM_LNC007351)". Lineage: Eukaryota; Viridiplantae; Streptophyta; Magnoliopsida; Poales; Bromeliaceae. The record is from RNAcentral.